AUUGAACGCUGGCGGCAUGCCUUACACAUGCGAGUCGAACGGUAACAGGUUAAGCUGACGAGUGGCGAACGGGUGAGUAAUGUAUCGGAACGUGCCCAGUCGUGGGGGAUAACUGCUCGAAAGAGCAGCUAAUACCGCAUACGACCUGAGGGUGAAAGCGGGGGAUCGCAAGACCUCGCGCGAUUGGAGCGGCCGAUAUCAGAUUAGGUAGUUGGUGAGGUAAAGGCUCACCAAGCCGACGAUCUGUAGCCGGUCUGAGAGGACGACCAGCCACACUGGGACUGAGACACGGCCCAGACUCCUACGGGAGGCAGCAGUGGGGAAUUUUGGACAAUGGGCGCAAGCCUGAUCCAGCCAUGCCGCGUGCGGGAAGAAGGCCUUCGGGUUGUAAACCGCUUUUGUCAGGGAAGAAAAGGUUCUGGCUAAUACCUGGGACUCAUGACGGUACCUGAAGAAUAAGCACCGGCUAACUACGUG
Molecule: ribosomal RNA, 477 nt
Filed under: uncultured bacterium
Lineage: Bacteria
Description: partial 16S ribosomal RNA
Rfam family: Bacterial small subunit ribosomal RNA
Source: RNAcentral